UACGUAGGGUGCAAGCGUUGUCCGGAAUUAUUGGGCGUAAAGAGCUUGUAGGCGGUUUGUCGCGUCUGCUGUGAAAUUUCGGGGCUCAACCCCGAACUUGCAGUGGGUACGGGCAGACUAGAGUGUGGUAGGGGAGACUGGAAUUCCUGGUGUAGCGGUGAAAUGCGCAGAUAUCGGGAAGAACACCUAUGGCGAAGGCAGCUCUCUGGGACGGUACUGACGCUGAGACGCGAAAGCGUGGGGAGCGAACAGG
Molecule: ribosomal RNA, 253 nt
Filed under: uncultured bacterium
Lineage: Bacteria
Description: partial 16S ribosomal RNA
Rfam family: Bacterial small subunit ribosomal RNA
Source: RNAcentral